GAACGCACAUUGCGCCCGCCGGCACUCCGGCGGGCAUGCCUGUCCGAGCGUCAUUUCAACCCUCAGGCCCACCCUUCCGGGGGAGCGGGCCUGGUUCUGGGGAUCGGCGGCCCUCGCGGCCCCCGUCCCUCAAAUUCAGUGGCGGUCGCGCCGCAGCCUCCCCUGCGUAGUAGCACAACCUCGCACCGGAGAGCGGAACGACCACGCCGUAAAACACCCAAUUUUUUAAGGUUGACCUCGGAUCAGGUAGGAAUACCCGCUGAACUUAAG
Molecule: unclassified non-coding RNA, 270 nt
Filed under: uncultured Ascomycota
Lineage: Eukaryota; Fungi; Ascomycota
Description: sequence contains 5.8S rRNA gene
Rfam family: 5.8S ribosomal RNA (bases 1-53)
Source: RNAcentral